GCCGGGCAUGGUGAUGCAUGCCUGUAGUCCCAGCUACUUGGGAGGCUGAGGCAGGAUGAUUGCUUGAGCCCAGGAGUUUGAGGUUGCUGUGAGCUAGGCUGAUGCCAAGGCCUCACUCUAGCCUGAGCAACAAGGCGAGACUGUCUCAAAAGAAAAAAAAAAAAAAAGACACUAUCAGGACUAGGCUCAGUGGUAUGCAUCUGUAGUCCCAGCUACUCAGGAGGCUGAGGUAGGAUAGCUUGAGCCUAGGAGUUUGAGUCCAGCCUGGGCAGCACAGUGAGAUCAUGUUUCCU
RNAcentral lists this signal recognition particle RNA (293 nucleotides) under Microcebus murinus (gray mouse lemur). RNAcentral describes it as "Metazoan signal recognition particle RNA (ENSMICG00000026461.2)". It matches the Rfam family "Metazoan signal recognition particle RNA". From Rfam's summary of the family: The signal recognition particle (SRP) is a universally conserved ribonucleoprotein. The record is from Rfam by way of RNAcentral. Lineage: Eukaryota; Metazoa; Chordata; Mammalia; Primates; Cheirogaleidae.